RNAcentral lists this ribosomal RNA (631 nucleotides) under Actinomycetes bacterium. RNAcentral describes it as "bacterial SSU rRNA". It matches the Rfam family "Bacterial small subunit ribosomal RNA", at positions 382 to 1024 of the family's 1533-position model. Lineage: Bacteria; Bacillati; Actinomycetota; Actinomycetes. The record is from RNAcentral.
CCUGAUGCAGCGACGCCGCGUGAGGGAUGAAGGCCUUCGGGUUGUAAACCUCUUUCGACAGGGACGAAGCGCAAGUGACGGUACCUGUAGAAGAAGCGCCGGCCAACUACGUGCCAGCAGCCGCGGUAAGACGUAGGGCGCGAGCGUUGUCCGGAUUUAUUGGGCGUAAAGAGCUCGUAGGCGGCUUGUUGCGUCAGCUGUGAAAACCCGCAGCUCAACUGUGGGCUUGCAGCUGAUACGGGCAGGCUUGAGUUCGGUAGGGGAGACUGGAAUUCCUGGUGUAGCGGUGAAAUGCGCAGAUAUCAGGAGGAACACCGGUGGCGAAGGCGGGUCUCUGGGCCGAUACUGACGCUGAGGAGCGAAAGCGUGGGGAGCGAACAGGAUUAGAUACCCUGGUAGUCCACGCUGUAAACGUUGGGCGCUAGGUGUGGGGGGCCUCUCCGGUUCUCUGUGCCGCAGCUAACGCAUUAAGCGCCCCGCCUGGGGAGUACGGCCGCAAGGCUAAAACUCAAAGGAAUUGACGGGGGCCCGCACAAGCGGCGGAGCAUGCGGAUUAAUUCGAUGCAACGCGAAGAACCUUACCUGGGUUUGACAUGUGCGCUAAAGCCGUGGAGACACGGUGUCCUUCGGG